AAUCCUGGCUCAGGAUGAACGCUAGCUACAGGCUUAACACAUGCAAGUCGAGGGGCAGCAUGGUCUUAGCUUGCUAAGGCCGAUGGCGACCGGCGCACGGGUGAGUAACACGUAUCCAACCUGCCGUCUACUCUUGGACAGCCUUCUGAAAGGAAGAUUAAUACAAGAUUGCAUCAUGAGUUCACAUGUUCACAUGAUUAAAGGUAUUCCGGUAGACGAUGGGGAUGCG
RNAcentral lists this ribosomal RNA (229 nucleotides) under uncultured bacterium. Its description in RNAcentral is "partial 16S ribosomal RNA". It matches the Rfam family "Bacterial small subunit ribosomal RNA", at positions 15 to 235 of the family's 1533-position model. The record is from RNAcentral.